CUAACGAACUAUUUUUUUCUGCACUUUCCCUUUGAAAAGCUUUUCACAACACUUAAACCCAGCUCGCAGUCGCCAUUUGAUGUAUAUUUAAGCUAACUUACCAAUUAUGCUGUGAUCGGCAAGGCUUAGGUUCUAGGUUUAAGUAAUAUCACACUCUCUUAGUCUCUGCAAUAUAUUCUACGGUACUCGUCUGCAACUGUCGUUCACACGAG
RNAcentral lists this long non-coding RNA (212 nucleotides) under Mytilus galloprovincialis (Mediterranean mussel). The record is from RNAcentral. Lineage: Eukaryota; Metazoa; Mollusca; Bivalvia; Mytilida; Mytilidae.